UGUUCCCCUUCGAGAAAUAACUCAUUUUAAUGUCUAAUAUUUUUGUGAGUGCUCUCUUUGCUUUGACAUUUUUAUGGUAUUUUUGAACAAAUUAAUUUCGAAAUUCAUUUCGCGAUACGCCAUUGUUGUUGUCGUUGUUUUAUAAAUGAAACUAGCUGAAUAUGAAUUAUUUGAGUUUAGCAACUGGUCGUCUAUGUGCGGCGUCUCGGCUGGUAUUGGAUGGGGAUGUGGAUGCGGAUGGAGAUGACCAUGAGUGUGGGUGGCAUUUCUGGGAUUGCUCUAGUGAUGCGCAUGCUGAAUUCUGAUGACACUUGUCGCCUAGUUUCGAAAACUAGGCGUCAAAUCAAAUGGCAGAGAGAUUUCCCAUAGCCCAUAACGGCGAUGUGGCGGCUGCUGCCAAAUGUUUUUCAUCUCAUAUUUCCGCGUCCCUCGUGUUUCCCUCCCACAGCCCUCAAUGUGAAAUAUGUUGCAGCUUAUUUUUAUAUACUUCUACAAACAGGCAACAGUCAUUUGUCUAAUUUGUGGUUUUUUUUUUGUUACUGUGUUGGCAAGAAACUAAAGCAUAUUGUGGCAGUCGAGAGAUCAGUCUAUUCUUAAUUCAUAAGCCCACACUAAGAUCGGUGCGGUAAAGGCGGAGAGAGGAGGACGCGAGGGAAUCCCAUAAAUUAAGUUCAAUUUGCAAUUGAUGUCUGCAUUAUUUACAAACGAAAACAUAUUAUACCACAUACACGUACAUAGAUAAUUAAAAACCAAACAAAUUCGCGCCAAAAACAAAUGAAAAUCAAAGCUAACAAAAAUGUGGUUAUAGAAACGGACGGGCUGGCUCGACCAGCAGCUACCCUGCAAUAUGUUUUUAAACAAAAAUAUUAAAAGUUUUCCCCAUUAAAGUUAAGAUAAUAAUGAUUUUAGUUAUUAUUAUUAUUUAUUCAGAAAGGGGGAAAACUUGUUUGAAACAUUUACAGGGUAUUCAAAUCAGAUGAAAAUUACGAGCACUAGCCAAAAACCGAACAUCGAAAGACAUUAACGAGAUGAUUGAAAUGUGGGUGGCAAAUACAAAAAAAAAAAAUAAUAAUAAUAAAAACGAGAGGAACUGAUCAAGAAAAAAUGUCUAUGUCAACUUGA
This is a long non-coding RNA of Drosophila sulfurigaster albostrigata, 1122 nucleotides long. RefSeq lists it as uncharacterized. The transcript is spliced from 2 exons. NCBI's taxonomy places the organism in Eukaryota, Metazoa, Arthropoda, Insecta, Diptera, Drosophilidae. The record is from RefSeq and is a predicted model, not a curated record.